AAACUGUAUCCGAGAGCCCUUAAGGAGAAAAUAGAGAAAAAUGUAUGUACUGAAAUAAGUCUCCCAACAAUUUGAUCAGAUUUCUUUGAUACGACACAGUAUUCAUCUUUUAGCUUGCUCUACUAGGCUCCCCAAGGUUGGCACUUCUAGGAUCAAUGUUUCUCUAAACAGGUAAGUGUUAGUGUUAUGGUUAGUGUUAGGGCUAGCUUUAGAGCUAGUGUUAGGGUUAGAGUUUGUUUUGUU
Molecule: long non-coding RNA, 243 nt
Filed under: Marmota monax (woodchuck)
Lineage: Eukaryota; Metazoa; Chordata; Mammalia; Rodentia; Sciuridae
Source: RNAcentral